AGAAGAGAUGAAAGAGGGCAGACAAAAAGACGAGGAGGAGAAACGAGAGGGGAACGCAAGACGAAACGGCAAAAGCAGAAAGAUCCAGAGACCAGAGUGAAGAUGUAGCCGAAAAUGAGAGAGAGAGAAAAAAAGAAAAAGAAGACAUUUGAAGACAGAAGAGCAAUGACUUCCCCUGAAAGGAAAAUGGACAGACUGUGGAGUCGAAGGGAAAGUGGAUGGAACACUAAACGGGGCGAUCAUAGAAGAAAACACAUCAGAGCUGCAAAAGACUGGAAGUUCUGCCAUCCAGCAGGCCAACGACCCAAACAGAAGACCAGUUCCACCUCACAACUCUGGGCUACUUACUGUUGAUCUGCCACAUAAAAUCAAAAAUCAAACAUGUCCAACUCUGUGGUUGUAACCUCACAGAAUGUGGAAAAGGAUAUGAUGUCUUUCAUAAGGCACUUGGGUCUGGACCGCUAAAUCUAACAUCACCAUCGUCUGCUACAUUUCCUUUCCCGGAGCCAUUUACAAGUCAUUUGUCCUCUGGGCGUUGCAUCUCUUCAGCCUGGCUAUCAGUGCUGCACAAAGAAGUAACAUUUACUACGAGUCAGAUCGUAUUCUCAUCAUGAUUCCAGCUGAGCCUCAUCACAUGUUCAUCUGUUGUCUUCAAACUGGAAUCAAUUAGGUGACAAGGCAGGUUGGCAUGGUGACCACAAAGCAAUCAGAGGGCAGUGACAAUUACAUCUAUAAAAACACAAUAGGCAUAAUUCAUACAGUAAUUUGAUAAGUGCUUACAAUGUAUACUGUGUAAUUGAUUAGAGUGGUUUGUUUAAGUCUUCUGUCCGUAUACUUUAAAUAAGAAUGCCUAUUCUGUGAAUUAAAGAAGAGAAGAAUCA
Long non-coding RNA from Xiphophorus hellerii (green swordtail), 881 nucleotides. RefSeq lists it as uncharacterized. Lineage: Eukaryota; Metazoa; Chordata; Actinopteri; Cyprinodontiformes; Poeciliidae. The record is from RefSeq and is a predicted model, not a curated record. The transcript has 2 exons.